Long non-coding RNA from Hemicordylus capensis (graceful crag lizard), 1857 nucleotides. RefSeq lists it as uncharacterized. The record is from RefSeq and is a predicted model, not a curated record. NCBI's taxonomy places the organism in Eukaryota, Metazoa, Chordata, Lepidosauria, Squamata, Cordylidae. The transcript is spliced from 7 exons.
UCCUCAGCCACUUGCCCUGUUCGCCGUCUCUCCAGCUUGUUCUCCUGGCCGGCAAUCGAGCAGCAGACACGCUGCAAAGAGCUCCUUUUCUGCCGCCUCUCAGCUGAUCGGCGGGUGGGCGGGGCUUCCACGGAGGUCUGGUGUAGGCCUCUGUGAAGCCUGAACUCCAGUAGGGCCCAAGCCAGCCAGGAAGGAGGAGGCAGCCAGAGAGGCCUCCACUGUUCUCUGCAGCAGAAGACCCCCUGCUGCCAGGAGAAGUAGAAGGCUGCCAUCCCAAACAAGCAAUUGCAAACAAAGUGACAAGGGCAGAGUGGUGUUAAUUUAUUUUCAUCUUGAGUAAAUUGAUCGGAACUACCCAUAGGGUUGGACUUGUGAAUUGAUGAGGGCUUUCUUUCCUGCUACACAUUCAUUAUUGAACUACCUCUCAGAGCCAUAACUGCCAGCAGUUUCUAGUCCUGCCCUCAUGAGCAACAGAAAACAAUUUUGCUCCUCUUGUGUGCAACAGCCAUUAUGAUAACUGAAGACACCUCUUCUGCAAGCCAAGCAUACCCACCUCCUCCAGCUGUUCCACAUAGGACUUGUUUUCCAGACCCUUCAUCAUCGUGAUUGCCCUCCUCUGAACCUGUUCCAGUUUAUGAAUGUCCUCCUUAAAAUAUACUUCAAUGAUUUCUCAAAAUGCUGUAAAUAAGCUGGUAUAAAAGGAAGGAUGGAAGGAUGGAAGGAAGGAAGGAACGAAGGGAUACCCCAACACCAAGAUAUCUUGCAGUGACGUCAGGAUGGGCACACUCAUCUCAGCACAACUCCGUCCUGGUUGCAUGACAAAGCAGGAACUCCAGGGAUGCGGCAUACCUGUUGCCAAGCAGCAGCAGGAGGAGAAAGGAGAUGACAGAGAGUGGGGCGUCAGCUCUGAGAUGUGGCCCUAGGACUGACACAUUUCUGGCCUGCUCUGAGCUGACUUCUCAGUGGUAGCAGGAGGAGCAUCUGCACAAAACCCAGCUUACAGCGACAGCAGAAUUCGGAUGACACAACGCUGCCUUCUAACCUCAGGUUUCAGCAGUGAAACUCACUACAAACUGAAGGUUCAAAAUCAGGUUUGGCAGCAAAAAUGGAGCUGUGGUUGGGUGAUGAAACCACGUUAGCACACAUUUUGACUACCACAAACUCAACCCUCUGUCACAUUUAUCUCUGGUGUGGCAUUAUGUACUAACAAGGCCUUCGUAUUCAUGCUGAUGUUAAAAGCCCACGGACCCUGACAGAGGUGAAGUGUAGUGCCCCUCCUAAACUACCAGGUACUUUCAUUUUUAUGUAAUGAUUGAACAAGGAAAUGGUGUUGAGAUGUCUUUUUUCUUCAGACUGGUUAAUGAGACUCAGAUUGAUUAUUUCACAUUUAUUUAUGCAUUUUUAGCUUGGUGAAUAUUUUGCAGCUGUUAUCUGAGGGCUAAUUCACAGAUUCGCUGCCUCGUUUUCAUGUGGGGAGCCAUUUUGUAUGAAACAGCCCUCACAGGGAAAAAUGAAAAAUUACUGUGUCAGGGAAAAUGCUUGAAAACUAACAUUUCUCUUGAAGUGGUAACUCUUCAGGUUUUUCCCCAUGUGGGGGCUAUUUCACGCAAAUCACUCCCCACAUGAAAAUAAUGCACUGAAGUAACCAUGUGCAGAUUCUAUCACCUCAAAAAUAAACAUAUUAAUAGCUCCUCAUUCAUUUUUUCAAGAGCUGUGUGAGGUAAGGUUGGAGGCAGAAGACAGUAUUUCUUUCAGAGCGUUGGGAGUGAUGUGACAGACAAUAUAUGACAAAUUGCUUUGUGAGUUCAUUGGGUAGAAGCAUAUGACAGAGAUGAAAUAAAACUAAAAGUAAAUAAA